This is a non-coding RNA of Macrostomum lignano, 401 nucleotides long. NCBI's taxonomy places the organism in Eukaryota, Metazoa, Platyhelminthes, Macrostomidae. The record is from Rfam.
GUAUAUGUCAGUUCUACAUGAAACCGCGAAUGGCAUGAAAUGGCGUGAAACCGUGAAUGGCUCAUUAAAUCAGCUACAUGUAUGGUUCCUUAGAUUGUCUCAUCCUACUCGGAUAACUGUGGAACAUCUAGAGCUAUUACGUGCUUACAAGCCCUGACCUCACGGGAGGGGCGCAUUUAUUAGAUCAAAACCAAUCGGGGCUUGCCGCGUCUGCGUGGUGACUCUGGAUAACUUUUGUGCUGAUCGUAUGGCCUCUGCGCGGGCGAAGUAUCUUUCAAGUGUCUGCCCUAUCAACUUACGAUGGUUUUAGGUGAUUUGCCUACCAUGGUUAUAACGGGUAACGGAGAAUCAGGGUUCCAUUCCGGAGAGGGAGCCUGAAAAACGGCGUGCACUUUAGCAGC